CGCGUAGGCGGUUUGUACAGUCAGAAGUGAAAUUCCUGGGCUCAACCUGGGGACUGCUUUUGAUACGUGCAGACUUGAGUGAGGAAGAGGGUUGUGGAAUUUCCAGUGUAGAGGUGAAAUUCGUAGAUAUUGGAAAGAACACCGGUGGCGAAGGCGGCAACCUGGUCCUUUACUGACGCUGAGGCGCGAAAGCGUGGGGAGCAAACAGGAUUAGAUACCCUGGUAGUCCACGCUGUAAACGAUGUGUGCUGGAUGUUGGGGAACUUAGUUUUUCAGUGUCGUAGCUAACGCGAUAAGCACACCGCCUGGGGAGUACGGCCGCAAGGUUGAA
This 331-nucleotide ribosomal RNA is filed under the name uncultured bacterium. RNAcentral describes it as "bacterial SSU rRNA". It matches the Rfam family "Bacterial small subunit ribosomal RNA", at positions 568 to 898 of the family's 1533-position model. The record is from RNAcentral.